UAAGGAAUAUUGGUCAAUGGAGGCAACUCUGAACCAGCCAUGCCGCGUGCAGGAAGAAGGCCCUAUGGGUCGUAAACUGCUUUUGAACAAGAGAAAACCCCGGUACGUGUACUGGGUUGAUAGUAUUGUUAGAAUAAGCAUCGGCUAACUUCGUGCCAGCAGCCGCGGUAAGACGAAGGAUGCAAGCGUUAUCCGGAUUCAUUGGGUUUAAAGGGUGCGUAGGCGGACUGAUAAGUCAGUGGUGAAAUCCCUCGGCUUAACCGAGAAACUGCCAUUGAUACUGUUAGUCUAGAGUACAGAUGAUGUGGGCGGAAUAUGACAUGUAGUGGUGAAAUACUUAGAUAUGUCAUAGAACACCGAUUGCGAAGGCAGCUCACAAAACUGUAACUGACGCUGAGGCACGAAAGUGCGGGGAUCAAACAGGAUUAGAUACCCACGUAGUCCCUGAGCGGGCUGGCAAGGCGCAU
This 467-nucleotide ribosomal RNA is filed under the name uncultured bacterium. Its description in RNAcentral is "bacterial SSU rRNA". It matches the Rfam family "Bacterial small subunit ribosomal RNA", at positions 355 to 825 of the family's 1533-position model. The record is from RNAcentral.